ACACAACAGGGAGGGAGGAGAGGGAAACUGAAUGAGUACAUUUUGCUGGAAGGAAGGAAUCACCACUUGGGGUUUUAGGGGGUAAGAGAGGAGCAUGGAGAGACAUGCUGAGCACACGGCACCAGAACAAACAGGUGGAGGAGACGUUAGUACUAGAAAGAGGAACAAAAGUACAAGAGAAAAAGGCGUAGAACAAAAGAAGAGGUGAAAUGAGGACACAGCGGACUUAUAUCUGUUUGGCCAACUCUAGACUCCAUGGACUAGUGAGAGGAAGAAGAGACACAGAGAGGAAGAAGGAUGGCUGCUGCCAGUUUUUACAUCACUGGCCA
RNAcentral lists this long non-coding RNA (329 nucleotides) under Homo sapiens (human). RNAcentral describes it as "HSALNT0152481". Lineage: Eukaryota; Metazoa; Chordata; Mammalia; Primates; Hominidae. The record is from RNAcentral.